Molecule: RNase P RNA, 390 nt
Filed under: bovine gut metagenome
Description: Bacterial RNase P class A
Rfam family: Bacterial RNase P class A
About the family: Ribonuclease P (RNase P) is a ubiquitous endoribonuclease, found in archaea, bacteria and eukarya as well as chloroplasts and mitochondria. Its best characterised activity is the generation of mature 5'-ends of tRNAs by cleaving the 5'-leader elements of precursor-tRNAs.
Source: RNAcentral
GGUGGCCGGACAGUCGCGCUUUGGAAAGUAAAAUCUAAAAGUGAGGAAAGUCCGGGCUUCAUGGAAACAAGAUACCGGAUAACGUCCGGCCGGAGAGAUCCGAGGGAGAGCGCCACAGAAAAUUACCGCCAAGGCAUGCUUUGGUAAGGUUGAAAAGGCGGGGUAAGAGCCCACCGCCGAUCCGGUAACGGUGAGGGUCAAGGCAAGCCCUAUCUGAUGUAAGACCAAACUCGGUGUAUCAGGAUUUUCCUGACGGAGUGUUUCCACUUCGUCCAAGGGUAGGUCGCAAGAGCAAGCCGGCAACGGCUUGGUGAGAUGAAUGGCUGUCGGUAUUAACUUUGUCUUUUGAUAAAGCAAUGAUAUGUACAAAACCCGGCUUACAGGUCACCC